Molecule: ribosomal RNA, 279 nt
Filed under: Triticum aestivum (bread wheat)
Lineage: Eukaryota; Viridiplantae; Streptophyta; Magnoliopsida; Poales; Poaceae
Description: partial small subunit ribosomal RNA
Source: RNAcentral
AUGGUUGGACUCAUAGGGAGGGAGCCAAGUGUACAAGGGAAGUCUGCCGGUGCAAGUUAUCAUUGGAUUGCUGAACACUUUGGGGAAUGCCCGGCUGAUGCGGACGAUGAAACAGUGCACCAGUAUACCAGGGCAUACUUGUGGUAUGUAGUCAGCCGGACUCUUUUCUCUGACGGCACUAGCGUCAACGCUUCCUUUAUGUGGCUUAAGCUGUUUGCUGGGUGGGAGCAUGGACUCAGUUGGGGUACAGCGGCGUUAUUUGUAUCGCUAGGUAAGUAG